This 23-nucleotide non-coding RNA is filed under the name Chrysemys picta (Painted turtle). Its record names the gene cpi-miR-301b-3p. RNAcentral also lists the same sequence under 7 other names. Lineage: Eukaryota; Metazoa; Chordata; Testudines; Emydidae. The record is from miRBase by way of RNAcentral.
CAGUGCAAUAAUAUUGUCAAAGC